This 458-nucleotide RNase P RNA is filed under the name Candidatus Moraniibacteriota bacterium. RNAcentral describes it as "RNase P RNA component class A". It matches the Rfam family "Bacterial RNase P class A". Rfam says of the family: Ribonuclease P (RNase P) is a ubiquitous endoribonuclease, found in archaea, bacteria and eukarya as well as chloroplasts and mitochondria. Lineage: Bacteria; Candidatus Moraniibacteriota. The record is from RNAcentral.
GUCCGACAAUUGAGCAAUGCUUGGAUAAAACCAAGAGGAAAGUCCGGACGCCAUCCAUUGUAAGUGGAAAAAAUAGUCGGUAACACCGACCAGCUAAUCGGUAACGGUUAGUUAGGGAAAGCGCCACAGAGACAAUACUAGUCCCGCCCUUUUGAUAUUAGUUUAACUUUUCUUCUUAAUGAUUUAAAGAAAAAGGAAAAGUGAAGAAUCGGCUUAAUUAAGAGCGGAAAUAGCGGAUAUAAGUAGUAUCAAAAAGGCGGGAUGAAAGGUGAAAAGUGCGCUUAGGUUAUUUUUAGCCAGAGCGCUCACACUCAAGUGAUUGAGUGAUGUGGCAAGCCCUAUUUGGCGCAAGAACGUAAUUCGCAUUUGUGAAUUGAUUCGCUAAAGUUUUUCGGCAACGGAAAACGCAGAUAAAUAUUGCUCCUCGACAGAAUCCGGCUUAGGAUUGUCGGACAAAU